AGUUUGAUUCUGGCUCAGGUGAACACUGGCGGAUGCUUUACACAUGCAAGUCGAACGGCGCUGCGGACUUCGGUCUGGUGGCGAGUGGCGAACAGGUGAGUAAUGUAUCGGAACGUGCUAGUAGCGGGGGAUAACUACGCGAAAGCGUAGCUAAUACAUACGCCCUUCAGAGAAAGCAGGGGACCUUCGGGCCUCGUACUAUUAGAGCGGCCGAUAUCGGAUUAGCUAAGUUGGUGGGGUAACGGCUCGCAAGGCGACGAUCCGUAGCUGUUGAGAGGACGACCAGCCACGCAGGACUGAGACUAGCCCGAACUCUACGGAGGCAGCAGUGGGAAUUUUGGACAAUGGAAGCCCUGAUCCAGCCAUCCCGCGUGUGCGAUAAAGGCCUUCGAGUUUGUAAAGCACUUUGGCAGGAAAGGAAACGGCACGGGAUAAUACCCCGUGCAACUGACGUGCAGAAUGACGCACCGGUAACUACGUGCCAGCAGCCGCGGUAAUACGUAGGAAUUGCAAGCGUUAAUCGGAAUUACUGGGCGUAAAGCGUGCGCAGGCGGUUCGGAAAGAAAAGAUGUGAAAUCCCAAGCUUACGCUUUUGAACUUCAUUUUUAGCACUACCGAGCUGAAGUGUGUCAAGGGGUGGAAUUCCCGCGUGUAGCAGUGAAAUGCGUAGAUAUGCGGAGGAACACCGAUGGCGAAGGUAUCCUGGGAUAACACUGACGCUCAUGCACGAAAGCGUGGGGAGCAAACAGGAUUAGAUACCCUGGUAGUCCACGCCCUAAACGAUGUCAACUAGCUGUUGGGGCCUUCCGGGCCUUGGUAGCGCAGCUAACGCGUGAAGUUGACCGCCUGGGAAAUACGGUCGCAAGAUUAAAACUCAAAGGAAUUGACGGGGACACACAAGCGGUGGAUGAUGUGGACAAAUUGGUACGCUGCGAAAAACCUUACCUACCCUUGACAUGUCUGGAAUCCCGAAGAGAUUUGGGAGUGCUCGCAAGAACCGGAACACAGGUGCUGCAUGGCUGUCGUCAGCUCGUGUCGUGAGAUGUUGGGUUAAGUCCCGCAACGAGCGCAACCCUUGUCAUUGGUUGCUACGAAAGGGCACUCUAAUGAGACUGCCGGUGACAAACCGGAGGAAGGUGAGGAUGACGUCAAGUCCUCAUGGCCCUUAUGGGCAGGGCUUCACACGUCAUACAAUGGUCAGGACAGAGGGUCGCCAACCCGAGGAGGCCAGUCCCGAAACCCGAUCGUAGUCCGGAUCGCAGUCUGCGCUCGACUGCGUGAAGUCGGAAUCGCUGGUAAUCGCGGAUCAGCAUGUCGCGGUGAAUACGUUCCCGGGUCUUGUACACCGCCCGUCACACCAUGAAGUGCUGGGUUUUACCAGAAGUAGUUAGCCUAACCGUAGGCAAUUUACCACGGUAGGAUUCAUGACUGGGGUGGAAGUCAUAACAACAAAGGUAGCUCUGUUACUACCUGAUGUAGAACAUCCAUGGCGCUU
RNAcentral lists this ribosomal RNA (1495 nucleotides) under uncultured Bordetella sp. RNAcentral describes it as "partial 16S-23S ribosomal RNA intergenic spacer". It matches the Rfam family "Bacterial small subunit ribosomal RNA". The record is from RNAcentral. Lineage: Bacteria; Pseudomonadati; Pseudomonadota; Betaproteobacteria; Burkholderiales; Alcaligenaceae.